This 460-nucleotide ribosomal RNA is filed under the name uncultured bacterium. RNAcentral describes it as "partial 16S ribosomal RNA". It matches the Rfam family "Bacterial small subunit ribosomal RNA", at positions 338 to 795 of the family's 1533-position model. The record is from RNAcentral.
CCUACGGGUGGCAGCAGUGAGGAAUAUUGGUCAAUGGGCGGAAGCCUGAACCAGCCAAGUCGCGUGCAGGAUGACGGCCCUAUGGGUUGUAAACUGCUUUUAUACGGGAAUAACGCGCCUUCCGUGUAGGGCUUUGCAUGUACCGUAUGAAUAAGGACCGGCUAAUUCCGUGCCACCCGCCGCGGUAAAACGGAAGGGCCGGGGGUUAUCCGGAUUUAUUGGGUUUAAAGGGAGCGUAGGCCGCAUGUCAAGCGUCCUGUGAAAUGUCCGGGUUCAACCCGGGCCUCGCAGCGCGAACGGGCGUGCUUGAGUCCGCGGAAAGCAGGCGGAAUUCGUCGUGUAGCGGUGAAAUGCUUAGAUAUGACGAAGAACCCCGAUUGCGAAGGCAGCUUGCUGCAGCGGAACUGACGCUGAGGCUCGAAAGCGCGGGUAUCGAACAGGAUUAGAUACCCUUGUAGUC